RNAcentral lists this microRNA precursor (141 nucleotides) under Podarcis lilfordi (Lilford's wall lizard). Lineage: Eukaryota; Metazoa; Chordata; Lepidosauria; Squamata; Lacertidae. The record is from RNAcentral.
ACCCUAGAGACCAACUAAGUUUGCUCUGGGUAUAGGCUUUCGUGUGCAUGUACACUUCUUCAAAUAUCUGAAGAGUAUCUGAAGAAGUAUGCAUGCACAUGAAAGCUUAUACCCAGAACAAACUUAGUUGGUCUCUAAGGU